GGGAUCUGUUCAUUUCUCAGUGAGGGAUCUGUUCAUUUCUGUGAGGGAUCUGUUCAUUUCUCAGUGAGGGAUCUGUUCAUUUCUCAGUGAGGGAUCUGUUCAUUUCUCAGUGAGGGAUCUGUUCAUUUCUGUGAGGGAUCUGUUCAUUUCUGUGAGGGGAUCUGUUCAUUUCUCAGUGAGGGGAUCUGUUCAUUUCUCAGUGAGGGAUCUGUUCAUUUCUGUGAGGGCUCUGUUCAUUUCUCAGUGAGGGCUCUGUUCAUUUCUNGAUAAUCCCUGCCCUGGAGGGAGAUGGAAUCAUCCCCCAGGUGAGACAGGGACCAAACCCGGGAUAAUCCCUGAUCUAGAGCAGGCUGGAAUCAUCCCCCAGGUGAGACAGGGACCAAACCCGGGGUAAUCCAUGCCCUGGAGGGAGAUGGAAUCGUCCCCCAGGUGAGACAGGGACCAAACCCAGGGUAAUUCC
This 460-nucleotide long non-coding RNA is filed under the name Zonotrichia albicollis (white-throated sparrow). RNAcentral describes it as "lncRNA (ENSZALG00000000636.1)". The record is from RNAcentral. Lineage: Eukaryota; Metazoa; Chordata; Aves; Passeriformes; Passerellidae.